UACGGAGGGUGCAAGCGUUGUCCGGAAUCACUGGGCGUAAAGGGCGCGUAGGUGGCCUGUGGAAGUCUGCGGUGAAAGCCCGGCGCUCAACGCCGAGUCGGCCGUGGAUACUCUCGGGCUUGAGCUUACUAGAGGCAGAUGGAAUUCCGGGUGUAGCGGUGGAAUGCGUAGAGAUCCGGAAGAACACCGGUGGCGAAGGCGGUCUGCUGGGGUAAUGCUGACACUGAGGCGCGACAGCGUGGGGAGCAAACAGG
This 254-nucleotide ribosomal RNA is filed under the name uncultured bacterium. Its description in RNAcentral is "partial 16S ribosomal RNA". It matches the Rfam family "Bacterial small subunit ribosomal RNA", at positions 524 to 776 of the family's 1533-position model. The record is from RNAcentral.